UAUCAAAUAUUUUCUCUAUCUGCAUCAUCCAUCGUUCUGCCACCAUUGGAUCAGACUCACCACUAAAACUGGGAGGACUAAGCUUCUUAAACUGUUCAAUUCCCAACCCCGUCUGGUUUGAUGUCCCUGUUCCAUCAUUUCUUCCUCGUAGGACAGGUUGUUGUUGUUGUUGCAUCAUUUGGGCCAUAGUCUCCAAAGUCCGCAUGAUACCACUCAAUUGAUCAGUAGUAGAUGCAACAGGAGAACCAGAUGAUCUCGUCAUCCUUGCUUCCUAAAACAUCAAAAGAACAUUUUCUUUGAUCAAUCUCUAAAUGAUAGUCAAUAAACCUCAAAAAAAGAAUAUUCUUAGUGAUUCUCAAAUCAUGCUUUGAUACCAACUCUGUCACGCCCCUCAAAAU
Molecule: long non-coding RNA, 398 nt
Filed under: Musa acuminata (dwarf banana)
Lineage: Eukaryota; Viridiplantae; Streptophyta; Magnoliopsida; Zingiberales; Musaceae
Description: long non-coding RNA (MACU_LNC009152)
Source: RNAcentral